CACGGACCACUGCAUAUCAGUAAGCUGGAGGUCUUCGGCGUCCGCAUUGUAAUCUCAAGAAGUGUUUUCCGCUUCGGACCAUGCCUAAGUCCCUUGGAAAAGGGCAUCAUAGAGGGUGAUAAUCCCGUACAUGGCAUGGAGCGCCCGAAGCUUUGUGAUACGCUUUCUAAGAGUCGAGUUGUUUGGGAAUGCAGCUCAAAAUGGGUGGUAAAUGCCAUCUAAGGCUAAAUAUUGGGGAGAGACCGAUAGCGAACAAGUACAGUGAUGGAAAGAUGAAAAGAACUUUGAAAAGAGAGUUAAACAGUACGUGAAAUUGCCAAAAGGGAAGGGUAGGAGGUCAGAGAUGCGGCCUGGGAUUCAGCCUUGCUUUUGCUUGGUGUUUUUCCCAGAUUGCAGGCCAACGUCGGUUUUGGGCACUGGAGAAGGGUAGGAGGAACGUGGCACCUCUCGGGGUGUGUUAUAGCCUCCUACUGGAUACAGCGACCGAGACCGAGGACAGCAGCGUACUCGCAAGAGCGGGCCUUCGGGCACCUUUACGCUUAGGGCGUUGGCAUAAUGGCCCUCUACCACUCGUCUUGAAACACGGACCACUGCAUAUCAAUAAGCG
Molecule: ribosomal RNA, 607 nt
Filed under: uncultured Pseudozyma
Lineage: Eukaryota; Fungi; Basidiomycota; Ustilaginomycetes; Ustilaginales; Ustilaginaceae
Description: eukaryotic LSU rRNA
Rfam family: Eukaryotic large subunit ribosomal RNA
Source: RNAcentral